Molecule: ribosomal RNA, 467 nt
Filed under: uncultured bacterium
Lineage: Bacteria
Description: partial 16S ribosomal RNA
Rfam family: Bacterial small subunit ribosomal RNA
Source: RNAcentral
GACGAACGCUGGCGGCGUGCUUAACACAUGCAAGUCGAACGGAAAGGCCCUGCUUUUGUGGGGUGCUCGAGUGGCGAACGGGUGAGUAACACGUGAGUAACCUGCCCUUGACUUUGGGAUAACUUCAGGAAACUGGGGCUAAUACCGGAUAGGAGCUCCUGCUGCAUGGUGGGGGUUGGAAAGUUUCGGCGGUUGGGGAUGGACUCGCGGCUUAUCAGCUUGUUGGUGGGGUAGUGGCUUACCAAGGCUUUGACGGGUAGCCGGCCUGAGAGGGUGACCGGCCACAUGGGGACUGAGAUACGGCCCAGACUCCUACGGGAGGCAGCAGUGGGGAAUAUUGCACAAGGGGCGGAAGCCUGAUGCAGCAACGCCGCGUGCGGGAUGACGGCCUUCGGGUUGUAAACCGCUUUCGCCUGUGACGAAGCGUGAGUGACGGUAAUGGGUAAAGAAGCACCGGCUAACUACGU